CUGAGCUCCUGGUGGAGCUUGGGCUGAGUUCGCUGGCUGUGUUUUGUGCCUGGGGUGGUCCAUGCCAGUGCCCCGCCAGGAGCGAGCCACACGUGGUGUCCGUGGCACAGGGCAGGUGGAGGCACAUUCUGGGAGAAAUCAGAUUCUGCCGUGGUCAGCUGUGGUCAGGCUAGCUAGAUAGUCUUGGGCCAAGCUCUGAGGGCUCCUGCUCCCAGGACAGCCUCUUGCCAGGUCAACUGUGUUUUAUUGUUCCCUCCCGACCCCUCCUGCUGAUGUCAUUGGCAAAGCUGCCAGCCACAGCCCUGCCCCCUGAAUGUUCUCUGGACCAUCCUUAUGGUUUUCUUUUCUCAAUCAGUCACUUCAAGCAAACACCAUCAGCGCCUGACACACAGCAAAGCUCACCACUUCUAGGAUCCUAAGCCAGACAUGAGGUCAUGUUCUCCACCUGUGAAGAAUUAAAAUCUGGCUGACAAGGGAAGAAAUUUUGGCUGCUGGGCUGAGCCGGGCUGCUGGAAGAGUUAGGGUUCUGUCCGGUUCCUGGGAGGCCUGAAGAGCAAGCGGCCGGGACUAGCGGAGAGCGGAAGAUGGGCAGCAAUGACAGCAAAUGUACUCAUGACAAGAAGUUUUAAAACUACAGCCUAAAACCCAGGAAGGCAGGCACCCACUACCCCCACUCCUCUAACAG
Kogia breviceps (pygmy sperm whale) is the source of this 685-nucleotide non-coding RNA. NCBI's taxonomy places the organism in Eukaryota, Metazoa, Chordata, Mammalia, Artiodactyla, Physeteridae. The record is from RefSeq and is a predicted model, not a curated record.